GACGAACCGUGCAAACGUUGUUCGGAAUCACUGGGCUUAAAGGGCGCGUAGGCGGGCGGUCAAGUCAGGGGUGAAAUCUUUCGGCUCAACCGGAAAAGUGCCCUUGAUACUGACGGUCUGGAGGGAGGUAGGGGCGUGCGGAACUUCCGGUGGAGCGGUGAAAUGCGUAGAUAUCGGAAGGAACACCGGUGGCGAAAGCGGCGCGCUGGACCUCUACUGACGCUGAGGCGCGAAAGCCAGGGGAGCAAACGGG
RNAcentral lists this ribosomal RNA (253 nucleotides) under uncultured bacterium. RNAcentral describes it as "partial 16S ribosomal RNA". It matches the Rfam family "Bacterial small subunit ribosomal RNA", at positions 524 to 776 of the family's 1533-position model. The record is from RNAcentral.